This 305-nucleotide ribosomal RNA is filed under the name uncultured bacterium. RNAcentral's name for it is "bacterial SSU rRNA". It matches the Rfam family "Bacterial small subunit ribosomal RNA", at positions 337 to 633 of the family's 1533-position model. The record is from RNAcentral.
UCCUACGGGGGGCAGCAGUUAGGAAUAUUCGUCAAUGGGGGAAACCCUGAACGAGCAAUGCCGCGUGAACGAUGAAGGCCCUAUGGGUUGUAAAGUUCUGUUGUUUGGAACGAAUAACUAGAUGAGGAAAUGCUUCUAGUCUGACGGUACCAUUCAAGAAAGCCACGGCUAACUACGUGCCAGCAGCCGCGGUAAUACGUAGGUGGCGAGCGUUAUCCGGAUUUAUUGGGCGUAAAGCGAGUGCAGGCGGUUCAAUAAGUCUGAUGUGAAAGCCUUCGGCUCAACCGGAGAAUUGCAUCAGAAAC